CGGAUGACGGCUGCCUCUCCGUGGGAGACGCUCUGGUGCUUCUCGCCCUCCUCGAAGCUCCCCAUGUCUGCGGAGAGAAGAACGUAAGGAGGGCACACUGAUUCCAGCUCUGAUGUUCUGUCGCCAGGAGGGGAGCAGAGAGCAGUGGAGAUGCAGCAGGAAGACUUCUGGUUGCCCACCUGCCAGCUGGCAUCACAGUGGGUCUGAUUCUAAUGGAAGGGGCUUGGAGACGGGAUGUGGGGAGGGGUGUUGGUACAGAGCGGAUCACCAAGACUCUUGAGUGUUGAUGUAUACUUCCUCACUGCUCAAAGUGUGGUCCAUGGACCAGCAGCACGGGCACUGCCUGGGUGCUGGUCAGCAAUGCAGAGUCUCAGGCCCCACUCCAGAUUUGCUGAAUCAGAACCUGCAUUUUAACAAGACUCCCAGUGAAGUGUGCCCACACACACGUGUGAGAAGCAAUGUUUGUCCUCAGACUUGGCUGAGUGUCAGCAAGAAUCACAUACAGAGUUAAAGAAUGCUCAUGCCCGGUCUCACCCCCAAACUUCAGAUUUCACUGGCUUGGGGUGUGGGUGUGGGCUGCCCGUCAGCAUCCCCACGUGCAGUACCGUUCAGACCACCGACACCUUGGUUUCGUUUCCCCGUGGCCCACUCGUUCCCUCCCUGACCGCGGGGGCCAUGCCCUCAGCUACUUGGCCUCCUGCUGCCUUGUUAUUUCUCAGCCCCUGGAAUACCACCUGCCUCUUCUUCCUCUCCUUCACCCAGGAGACCCCAACCUGGCUGCACCUCAGAAUCCCCUUUAAUAUUCCCAGAGGUAAGAACCUUCUGGGGUGGGUGGGACCUAGAUGUGGGUAUUUCUACACUGCUCAGGUAGGUCCAGUGUGAGCCAAGGUUGAGAACUACUGUUUGGGCUCCCACCUUACACUUUGGUGGCCUCAGAAUCCCCUGGGCAUGGUAAGCCCACAGACUUGCUCCCAUGCUUCCUCUCUCCCGGGGCGCCGACAGGCCCGGCUCCCCGGCGCCUGGGUCUGAGGUCUUGAUUCGCUCUCUGGAAGAUCCAGCUGCACACCGAAGUUUGAGAACUACUGGCCGGCACUCUCACUUCCCAAAGCCCUCGGCUUCAUUCUCUCCUCGCCUGACCUAAUGGGUUUGACCUCAAUCUCUCUGCAAAGACUGUCCGUCUGCCCUGGCUCUUCCUUGAGCCCUAACACCCAACACCCAACUUCCAACAGAAAACGUUGGGUAUUCUUUACUUCCUCUCCAUGCCCUCCUUCCUGCAUUCUAAGUUCUGCUAAUAGCUCCCCGUCCCACACCUGCCCAGAGCACCUAGGACCAAAGCCUUGGAGCCUUUCCUGGUGCUUCCCGUCCGGGUUCCCACAAAGCCCUUCGGCUCUUCCUCUGGAAUAUUGCUCUCAAUUCCCAAGGCCCCUCUGUUCCCUUAGGUCCCACCAAUAAGCUAGCCCAUCACUCCAGCUGCAUCGACUCCUUCCCCACAUGGUCUCCUACAUGGGAUCCCCUCCCAUCCAUCUUCUGCACUCUCCUGAUUAGUUUUUCUGACCACAUCACCGACUUGCUCAGAACCUUUAGGACCUCCUUAUUGCCCCAGGAAAGUUUAAAUCCCUUUACCUGGAUUCAAGGUCCCCCCCCGUCAGACCCCAACCAACCCUGGCUGUCUGAAUGCCCGCACCAGGUCAUGUGCCUCUCCCGUCAUGCUGAGUUACAUCCUUCUUCUCCCCUCAGGCCUCUGCCUGGAAUGCCACCAGAACAAGCCAUCAUUUCCCAAGGCUCCACGGUUCAACAGCAUCCCAGAGGGAUCUGGCCAAUUAAAUAUCUCAAGAAAUAAAAUGAGCUGUUGGCAUCUUUG
Molecule: non-coding RNA, 1861 nt
Organism: Equus caballus (horse)
Lineage: Eukaryota; Metazoa; Chordata; Mammalia; Perissodactyla; Equidae
Source: RefSeq, a predicted model, not a curated record